Molecule: long non-coding RNA, 768 nt
Organism: Mangifera indica (mango)
Lineage: Eukaryota; Viridiplantae; Streptophyta; Magnoliopsida; Sapindales; Anacardiaceae
Exons: 2
Source: RefSeq, a predicted model, not a curated record
AACUUAUAUAUUUGUUAGAGAGAUUGGUAUUUCUAAUAUAUGAGAAAAUAAAAUAUUUCUAGAGUAAUGUAAAGAUAAGAGUGAGGUCAACCAAAUAUCUAGGAGAAUCAUAUUAUCCUUAAAUUCAUCUCUCUUUAUAAUUCAGUCUAGUGUUUCCAUACUUACAUAGUAUGAAGUAAAUCGAUAAGGAGAAAGAUCCUAAAGCUAAAGAGAGAAAGAGAUCGAGAGGGAUGGAAAACAUAGGGCCAUCACCACUGGUGCCUUCUCUAAUAGUGACAUUCCUUGGAAUGGCGAUAUUUGGUCCAACCGUCUCACUCUUUGUGGCACUGGCCGAGCUUCUGAGCCUGGAUGGUUUGGCUUUGGAACUUUUCUUCUCUUUGUGCUCUACGCAGUUCUCUACACUGUAGUCUCUCAGCAAUACCUAUAGUUGAGCUGCAUGCCUGCCAGCAACAUCUUAAUUCUACUCACAGUUUCAGCUUCUUCAUCAUCUGUUUGUGUGUUUCCUUGUCACUGAUUUAGGUGUAGAAUUGAAGUGACAACCCAUAUAUAUAAUAUAUGAAAAUCAAAGAGGGUAAGAAAAAUAAUAUAGAAAAACAAAAUAGAGAUAUGUUAUAUAUAUUGGGCUGCCCCCAGUGUUCCUGAUGUAAAAAUAUUAUUCAAAAUAUAUCUAUGUUUAUGUAAAUGUAGCUGAUGUUUUUAUCCAUCCUGCUUUACAACUCUGUACAGAUUUUAUCUAAGCAUAUUGUAUCUUUAAGCUGCUUGAUUUAA